UACGGGGGAUGCAAGCGUUAUCCGGAAUCAUUGGGUGUAAAGCGCCUGUAGGUUGUUUGAUAAGUCUGUUGUUAAAGCCUAGGGCUUAACCCUAGAAAAGCGAUGGAAACUACCAGACUAGAGUAUGGAAGGGGUAGAGGGAAUUUCUAGUGUAGCGGUGAAAUGCGUAGAUACUAGAAAGAACACCAGAGGCGAAAGCGCUCUACUGGGCCAGUACUGACACUCAGAGGCGAAAGCUAGGGUAGCAAAAGGGAUUAGAUACCCCUGUAGUCCUAGCCGUAAACGAUGGAUACUAGAUGUUGCGCUUUUGUGCAGUGUCGUAGCUAACGCGUUAAGUAUCCCGCCUGGGGAGUACGCUCGCAAGGGUG
RNAcentral lists this ribosomal RNA (368 nucleotides) under uncultured phototrophic eukaryote. RNAcentral's name for it is "SSU rRNA". It matches the Rfam family "Bacterial small subunit ribosomal RNA", at positions 524 to 896 of the family's 1533-position model. The record is from RNAcentral.